GACGAACCGUCCAAACGUUAUUCGGAAUCACUGGGCUUACAGAGUUCGUAGGCGGUCUGGAAAGUUGGGUGUGAAAUCCCUCGGCUCAACCGAGGAACUUCGCUUGAAACUACCAGACUCGAGGGAGAUAGAGGAAAGCGGAACUGAUGGUGGAGCGGUGAAAUGCGUUGAUAUCGUUUGGAACGCCAAUGGUGAAAACAGGUAACUGGGAGUGUGCCGACGCUGAGACACGAAAGCCAGGGGAGCGAACGGG
Molecule: ribosomal RNA, 253 nt
Filed under: uncultured bacterium
Lineage: Bacteria
Description: partial 16S ribosomal RNA
Rfam family: Bacterial small subunit ribosomal RNA
Source: RNAcentral